RNAcentral lists this ribosomal RNA (468 nucleotides) under uncultured bacterium. RNAcentral describes it as "partial 16S ribosomal RNA". It matches the Rfam family "Bacterial small subunit ribosomal RNA", at positions 28 to 507 of the family's 1533-position model. The record is from RNAcentral.
GACGAACGCUGGCGGCGUGCUUAACACAUGCAAGUCGAACGGAAAGGCCCUGCUUUUGUGGGGUGCUCGAGUGGCGAACGGGUGAGUAACACGUGAGUAACCUGCCCGUGACUUUGGGAUAACUUCAGGAAACUGGGGCUAAUACCGGAUAGGAGCUCCUGCUGCAUGGUGGGGGUUGGAAAGUUUCGGCGGUUGGGGAUGGACUCGCGGCUUAUCAGCUUGUUGGUGGGGUAGUGGCUUACCAAGGCUUUGACGGGUAGCCGGCCUGAGAGGGUGACCGGCCACAUUGGGACUGAGGUACGGCCCAGACUCCUACGGGAGGCAGCAGUGGGGAAUAUUGCACAAUGGGCGGAAGCCUGAUGCAGCAACGCCGCGUGCGGGAUGACGGCCUUCGGGUUGUAAACCGCUUUCGCCUGUGACGAAGCGUGAGUGACGGUAAUGGGUAAAGAAGCACCGGCUAACUACGUG